RNAcentral lists this ribosomal RNA (477 nucleotides) under uncultured bacterium. Its description in RNAcentral is "partial 16S ribosomal RNA". It matches the Rfam family "Bacterial small subunit ribosomal RNA", at positions 28 to 522 of the family's 1533-position model. The record is from RNAcentral.
GACGAACGCUGGCGGCGUGCUUAACACAUGCAAGUCGAACGGAAAGGCCCUUCGGGGUACUCGAGUGGCGAACGGGUGAGUAACACGUGGGUGAUCUGCCCUGCACUUUGGGAUAAGCCUGGGAAACUGGGUCUAAUACCGAAUAGGACCGCAUGCUUCAUGGUGUGUGGUGGAAAGCUUUUGCGGUGUGGGAUGGGCCCGCGGCCUAUCAGCUUGUUGGUGGGGUAAUGGCCUACCAAGGCGACGACGGGUAGCCGGCCUGAGAGGGUGACCGGCCACACUGGGACUGAGAUACGGCCCAGACUCCUACGGGAGGCAGCAGUGGGGAGUAUUGCACAAUGGGCGCAAGCCUGAUGCAGCGACGCCGCGUGAGGGAUGACGGCCUUCGAGUUGUAAACCUCUUUCAGCAGGGACGAAGCGCAAGUGACGGUACCUGCAGAAGAAGGACCGGCCAGCUACGUGCCAGCAGCCGCGUAA